This is a non-coding RNA of Aedes albopictus (Asian tiger mosquito), 74 nucleotides long. The record is from Rfam. NCBI's taxonomy places the organism in Eukaryota, Metazoa, Arthropoda, Insecta, Diptera, Culicidae.
GGGUUAGUGGUCUAGUGGCUACCGCUUCUGCUUCAUAUGCAGAAGGUCCUGGGUUCAAUCCCUAGCCUGUCCCU